RNAcentral lists this ribosomal RNA (497 nucleotides) under uncultured bacterium. RNAcentral describes it as "partial 16S ribosomal RNA". It matches the Rfam family "Bacterial small subunit ribosomal RNA", at positions 28 to 507 of the family's 1533-position model. The record is from RNAcentral.
GAUGAACACUGGCGGCGUGCCUAAUACAUGCAAGUCGAGCGAACAGACGAGGAGCUUGCUCCUCUGACGUUAGCGGCGGACGGGUGAGUAACACGUGGAUAACCUACCUAUAAGACUGGGAUAACUUCGGGAAACCGGAGCUAAUACCGGAUAAUAUAUUGAACCGCAUGGUUCAAUAGUGAAAGACGGUUUUGCUGUCACUUAUAGAUGGAUCCGCGCCGCAUUAGCUAGUUGGUAAGGUAACGGCUUACCAAGGCAACGAUGCGUAGCCGACCUGAGAGGGUGAUCGGCCACACUGGAACUGAGACACGGUCCAGACUCCUACGGGAGGCAGCAGUAGGGAAUCUUCCGCAAUGGGCGAAAGCUUGACGGAGCAACGCCGCGUGAGUGAUGAAGGUCUUCGGAUCGUAAAACUCUGUUAUUAGGGAAGAACAAAUGUGUAAGUAACUAUGCACGUCUCGACGGUACCUAAUCAGAAAGCCACGGCUAACUACGUG